CCUACGGGGGGCAGCAGUGAGGAAUAUUGGUCAAUGGGCGCGAGCCUGAACCAGCCAAGUAGCGUGAAGGAUGACUGCCCUACGGGUUGUAAACUUCUUUUAUAAAGGAAUAAAGUGAGGCACGUGUGCCUUUUUGUAUGUACUUUAUGAAUAAGGAUCGGCUAACUCCGUGCCAGCAGCCGCGGUAAUACGGAGGAUCCGAGCGUUGUCCGGUUUUAUUGGGUUGAAAGGGAGCGUAGAUGGGUUGUUAAGUCAGUUGGUAAAGUUUGCGGCUCAACCGUAAAAUUGCACUUGAUACUAGCAGUCGUGAGUACAGUUGAGGUAGGCGGAAGUCGUGGUGUAGCGGUGAAAUGCUUAGAU
Molecule: ribosomal RNA, 360 nt
Filed under: uncultured bacterium
Lineage: Bacteria
Description: partial 16S ribosomal RNA
Rfam family: Bacterial small subunit ribosomal RNA
Source: RNAcentral